This 522-nucleotide ribosomal RNA is filed under the name uncultured bacterium. RNAcentral's name for it is "bacterial SSU rRNA". It matches the Rfam family "Bacterial small subunit ribosomal RNA", at positions 24 to 518 of the family's 1533-position model. The record is from RNAcentral.
UCAGGACGAACGCUGGCGGCGUGCCUAAUACAUGCAAGUCGAACGGCUUUUCUAUGGAAGCUUGCUUCCACUGAGAAGAUAGUGGCGAACGGGUGAGUAACACGUGGGUAACCUGCCCAUAAGAGGGGGAUAACAUCCGGAAACGGGUGCUAAUACCGCAUAGUUUUCUUGGUCGCAUGAUCGGGAAAGGAAAGACGGCCUUUGUGCUGUCGCUUAUGGAUGGACCCGCGGCGUAUUAGUUAGUUGGUGAGGUAACGGCUCACCAAGACGAUGAUACGUAGCCGACCUGAGAGGGUGAUCGGCCACAUUGGGACUGAGACACGGCCCAAACUCCUACGGGAGGCAGCAGUAGGGAAUCUUCCGCAAUGGACGAAAGUCUGACGGAGCAACGCCGCGUGAGUGAAGAAAAGGUUUUCGGAUCGUAAAACUCUGUUGUCAGAGAAGAACAAGUUGGAGAGUAACUGCUCCAGCCUUGACGGUAUCUGACCAGAAAGCCACGGCUAACUACGUGCCAGCCGCCGC